GAUGAAGAACGCAGCGAAAUGCGAUAAGUAAUGUGAAUUGCAGAAUUCAGUGAAUCAUCGAAUCUUUGAACGCACAUUGCGCCCGUCGGUAUUCUGGCGGGCAUGCCUGUUCGAGCGUCAUUACGCCCCUCAAGUCCCCUGUGGACUUGGUGUUGGGGAUCGGCGAGGCUGGUUUUCCAGCACAGCCGUCCCUUAAAUUAAUUGGCGGUCUCGCCGUGGCCCUCCUCUGCGCAGUAGUAAAACACUCGCAACAGGAGCCCGGCGCGGUCCACUGCCGUAAAACCCCCCAACUUUUUAUAGUUGACCUCGAAUCAGGUAGGACUACCCGCUGAACUUAAGCAUAUCAAUAAGCGGAGGA
This 358-nucleotide unclassified non-coding RNA is filed under the name soil metagenome. RNAcentral's name for it is "partial contains 5.8S ribosomal RNA, internal transcribed spacer 2, and large subunit ribosomal RNA". The stretch from base 1 to 120 matches the Rfam family "5.8S ribosomal RNA", at positions 35 to 154 of the family's 154-position model. The record is from RNAcentral.